Molecule: small nucleolar RNA, 67 nt
Organism: Ornithorhynchus anatinus (platypus)
Lineage: Eukaryota; Metazoa; Chordata; Mammalia; Monotremata; Ornithorhynchidae
Source: RefSeq, a predicted model, not a curated record
UUUCUAUGAUGAUUCUAACUAGCUCACUUUGAUAACUAAAAUGAAAACCCUUGAACAUCUGAGAAAC